UACGAAGGGUGCAAGCGUUAAUCGGAAUUACUGGGCGUAAAGGGUGCGUAGGCGGUUCGUUAAGUCUGUUGUGAAAUCCCCGGGCUCAACCUGGGAAUGGCAAUGGAUACUGGCGGGCUAGAGUGUGUUAGAGGAUGGUGGAAUUCCCGGUGUAGCGGUGAAAUGCGUAGAGAUCGGGAGGAACACCAGUGGCGAAGGCGGCCAUCUGGAUCAACACUGACGCUGAGGCACGAAAGCGUGGGGAGCAAACAGG
This 253-nucleotide ribosomal RNA is filed under the name uncultured bacterium. RNAcentral describes it as "partial 16S ribosomal RNA". It matches the Rfam family "Bacterial small subunit ribosomal RNA", at positions 524 to 776 of the family's 1533-position model. The record is from RNAcentral.